Molecule: non-coding RNA, 127 nt
Filed under: Bigelowiella natans
Lineage: Eukaryota; Cercozoa; Chlorarachniophyceae
Source: RNAcentral
GAGCAAUGACGACGGAAAGUCUUCCCCAUCGUCGUCUUCGAUAUGCCCUUCUCCCCUGGACGGUGGUGAAGGUUGGUCGGGAUCAAGUAGCGGACGAGGCCUUGGGGGGAGAGGCAGCAGCGCUAGC